CCCAGUGGGCUUAGGCCAGACGGGUUCCUCUCUGGGAAACAUGGCUAUGCAUCAGGCCUCACACCCUUAACCACAGGAGCCGAUGCCCAAGGACUUCAUGCAGGCGUGCCGUGAGAUGGAGUCAGGCCAGGACACGAGUGGGCAGAACUCCUGAGAAAGCCUGAGGAAGGAAGCUCGGUUCUCCCACAGCGGGACAGUGGCCCUGCUGAAGGCCCUUCACCACGGCCACUCGGGCUGUGUACCCUCAAGGCUGGCUUUGGAAUCCCAUCGGCAGGGCUGGAAGGAACUCUGUGGACCCUCCUGUCCAAUGCCAUCAUUUAGAGAUGAGGGAAGCGACGCCCCAAGCCCUCCCCCCACCACAGGGACGAACCUGAGAGCUCUUGAUUCCUGCUCAUUCCCAGCAGAGUGCACACCCAGAACGAAGACUGUCCUUUUGAGAAGACCCAUAUUCAAGUGCAAAGAAAAAAAAAGAGGCCCGGGCGCCUGGGUGGCUCAGACGGUUAAGCGUCUGCCUUCGGCUCAGGUCAUGACCCCAGGGUCCUGGGAUCGAGUCCCGCAUCGGGCUCCCUGCUCCUUGGGAGCGUGCUUCUCUCUCUCUGUCUCUCA
This is a long non-coding RNA of Mirounga angustirostris (Northern elephant seal), 606 nucleotides long. RefSeq lists it as uncharacterized. The transcript is spliced from 3 exons. NCBI's taxonomy places the organism in Eukaryota, Metazoa, Chordata, Mammalia, Carnivora, Phocidae. The record is from RefSeq and is a predicted model, not a curated record.